AGAGCGAACGCUGGCGGCAGGCCUAACACAUGCAAGUCGAGCGCCCGUAGCAAUACGGGAGCGGCAGACGGGAUAGUAACACGUGGGAACGCGCCCUUCGGUUCGGAAUAACUCAGGGAAACUUGAGCUAAUACCGGAUACGCCCUUACGGGGAAAGAUUUAUUGCCGAAGGAACGGCCCGCGUCCGAUUAGCUAGUUGGUGAGGUAAUGGCUCACCAAGGCGACGAUCGGUAGCUGGUCUGAGAGGAUGACCAGCAUCACUGGGACUGAGACACGGCCCAGACUCCUACGGGAGGCAGCAGUGGGGAAUAUUGGACAAUGGGCGCAAGCCUGAUCCAGCCAUGCCGCGUGGAUGAUGAAGGCCUUAGGGUUGUAAAGUCCUUUUAACGGGGAAGAUAAUGACGGUACCCGUAGAAUUAAGCCCCGGCUAACUUCGUGCCAGCAGCCGC
Molecule: ribosomal RNA, 449 nt
Filed under: uncultured bacterium
Lineage: Bacteria
Description: SSU rRNA
Rfam family: Bacterial small subunit ribosomal RNA
Source: RNAcentral